Cydia splendana is the source of this 602-nucleotide long non-coding RNA. RefSeq lists it as uncharacterized. The record is from RefSeq and is a predicted model, not a curated record. The transcript has 2 exons. Lineage: Eukaryota; Metazoa; Arthropoda; Insecta; Lepidoptera; Tortricidae.
UAGCGCGUCAAUCUAAUCUAGCGCGGGUAAUAAAACUAGUUGCACUUGGAUUUUUCACUAGACCGAGUCCAGACGCGCGCGUGAACACUGCUGCACAAAAAUGCCUGUUUGCUCGGUUUUUUGUUAUAAAAAGAGGUCGAGGACAUCAAAUUUACAAAAAGAAAGUGUUACAUUUCACAUGUAAUAUUUUUUUUACAUAUCAUACGUUUAAUUACAUUCAAACACAAUUAUUAUAUUUUAGUCUCAUGUAAUUGUUGGAUUUAUCGAUUUUGCUCGCUCAGUACAAAUUGCGGAUCGGUCGAGCGACAAAUCCGACAUCUCAUCUCUCAGAAUACAAUAACAUACUUCAACGAAAAUGUGUUAAUGUGCGUGUUGUGACACUUGUCACUCGUCCGUACACAAAAAGAGAUCGAGGUUUGCAAGAUUUGUCUUUGACGUGUGUCAUUUUCUAUGUAUUUGUGUCGUCAUUACAGAUUGGAUUUUGUAUUGAGUGAGAAGUGCGACUGUGUGCCCGUUUCCCCGCAAAAAAUGGCAGAACGAUUUGUACGGUAAGAUAUCGCCUGGGCUCUUCCCUUCCGACGUGUCGGAAGCCGAUGUUGCUC